This 467-nucleotide ribosomal RNA is filed under the name uncultured bacterium. RNAcentral's name for it is "partial 16S ribosomal RNA". It matches the Rfam family "Bacterial small subunit ribosomal RNA", at positions 28 to 507 of the family's 1533-position model. The record is from RNAcentral.
GACGGACGCUGGCGGCGUGCUUAACACAUGCAAGUCGAACGAUGACGACCGAGCUUGCUCGGUCUGAUUAGUGGCGAACGGGUGAGUAACACGUGAGCAACCUGCCCUUCACUCUGGGAUAACCUCGGGAAAUCGGGGCUAAUACCGGAUAUGAGCUCCUGUCGCAUGGCGGGUGUUGGAAAGUUUUUCGGUGAGGGAUGGGCUCGCGGCCUAUCAGUUUGUUGGUGAGGUAGUGGCUCACCAAGGCGAUGACGGGUAGCCGGCCUGAGAGGGCGACCGGCCACACUGGGACUGAGACACGGCCCAGACUCCUACGGGAGGCAGCAGUGGGGAAUAUUGCACAAUGGGCGAAAGCCUGAUGCAGCGACGCCGCGUGAGGGAUGACGGCCUUCGGGUUGUAAACCUCUUUCAGCAGGGAAGAAGCGAAAGUGACGGUGCCUGCAGAAGAAGCGCCGGCUAACUACGUG